This 253-nucleotide ribosomal RNA is filed under the name uncultured bacterium. RNAcentral describes it as "partial 16S ribosomal RNA". It matches the Rfam family "Bacterial small subunit ribosomal RNA", at positions 524 to 776 of the family's 1533-position model. The record is from RNAcentral.
UACAGAGGGUGCGAGCGUUAAUCGGAAUUAUUGGGCGUAAAGGGCGCGUAGGCGGCAUGGCAAGUGGAAGGUGAAAUCCCUCGGCUCAACUGAGGAACUGCCCUCCAAACUGCUUUGCUUGAGUCCGGGAGAGGUGAGUGGAAUUCCCAGUGUAGCGGUGAAAUGCGUAGAUAUUGGGAGGAACACCAGUGGCGAAGGCGGCUCACUGGACCGGAACUGACGCUGAGGCGCGAAAGCGUGGGGAGCAAACAGG